RNAcentral lists this ribosomal RNA (1044 nucleotides) under Triticum aestivum (bread wheat). RNAcentral describes it as "partial small subunit ribosomal RNA". Lineage: Eukaryota; Viridiplantae; Streptophyta; Magnoliopsida; Poales; Poaceae. The record is from RNAcentral.
AUGCAACCCAUGGAAACUUCAGUUGUUGCUCAGUGCUAUCCUGAGGAUAUGAUCACUAAAGAGAACAGAGGUAUUAUUUUGGAAGCGAACAGUACUGUCCCUACAGUUAUGCAGCACAUUGUUGCCUAUGGUGGUGGUGAUCAGUCAGUAAUAGAACCAAUCAGUGAUCCCUCUCCUCUUGAGAAGCAAGUUGAUGAAGAGGUCCCUCUUGAGAAGCAAGCUGUUGAGGAGACCCAUCUUCAAGUUGAUCAGAAUUCUGGUGAUUCCAUUUCUAAUACUUCUGCUCCUCCUGGUUUUUCUCAACCUAUUUAUCUUCCCAAAUCUCUUUCUGCUGAGAUUUCAACAACACUCAAUUCUCCUGAUAUUCCAUUGGCAGAUCUACUUGGUAAGGAAGGGGCUAGCACCUGGGAAACUCAUUUUGCCCCAAAAGUGAAUAGCAAGGACAUCAUACAGGUACCUAUUGAAUGGGUGAACUUUUUAUAUGUAUCUUUCCUUUCCCCUAACAAAUUUGAGUGGGCUAAGAAAUUUAUCAAGUCUCAAGUUUGGGAGAUCAUUGUUGAAAAUAAGGAGACUAAGAAAUGUCUGCCCUUUGCCAUCCCAGAAAACUACCCAGAUUGUAACAGUGUUCUUUGUCUGUUGAGUAUUCCCCAGGACCAAGAAAAUUCUCCUUCUGCAAAUGGAGAUUCUCAGGAACUUUCUGCCUCCUCUACAUCUGCCCUGCAUAAGAAUAGGAAGAGGAAGGGCAAAGGCCCUCUGGUGGAAACAGAGGUAAGAAGGAGUUGCAGAUUACAACAACUGCAGAAGGGUUUUAAAAAAUCUGUCUGUAUGGACAAAGAAUGUCUAGCAUGUCACUCCUUGCCACCUUCUAUUCCUACCAAAGUGAUUAAGAACCUGAACACUUCCUUUUGCAAGGUUAAUGCUCAGAAUACUACUGAAGAGAAGAUAUCAUGCAUCCCCAAGAAGGCAAAGACCAACUUUAAGGCUAAGGAAGGCAAUUUGAUGCCCAAGGGUGGUAGCAAGUCCAAGGAUUGCAACUUGGUGUAA